GACAACGACGGUAUUAAUGGUAAUUGCGCAGACUUGUAUGAAAGUGGCUGGUGGUACAAUUCUUGUUCUUAUUGUCCUUUAAAUGCACCAUAUGGGGGAGAUCUACAUUGUUCGGGUAAUGUUUACAUUCGCCUUAAAGAAGUUAAGAUGCUAAUUCGCCCCAAAGAAGCGAUGAAGAAGUGAUAAACUGAAAAGCUGCAAUUCCCAUAUUUGACUCAGAUAUGUAAUCAUUUAUAUUUAAUUGGUGCCUUAAGAAAAAUAUAACGAUCGACUAUUUAA
Long non-coding RNA from Drosophila albomicans, 279 nucleotides. RefSeq lists it as uncharacterized. The record is from RefSeq and is a predicted model, not a curated record. The transcript has 2 exons. NCBI's taxonomy places the organism in Eukaryota, Metazoa, Arthropoda, Insecta, Diptera, Drosophilidae.